GGGGUCGACUGGAAUUGACAGGAAGUGUAAACUGUACGCCAGCAUGUCGGGUGCUGAUCAUACAUCCGUAAUCAAAUUGAUCAAACUAUAAUUGGCGAAUCUAAUUACGCCAUGGCAGCCUAAUUUUAGAUCUAAGAUCUGAAAUUGUUAAUCCCGACCAAGUUGGGACUGCCACAUCUCACCGAGCUUCUGCCCUUUAAGCUUGGACCAUGAGGUGUCGAAAUUUAGGGAUAGCCUUGGGUAGUGUCACGGACACUGGGUGAAAUUAAGUGACUGGUCUCUUAGGUAGGGUGUCUUUCCCCGGCCUGAUAGACAAGAACCAAUGAUAGACUAAACAUGUAGCGGGCUUAUUGUUUCCUUAGCUGGACGAGAGUUCGAAUCUCUCCGACUCCACAA
Molecule: transfer-messenger RNA, 396 nt
Filed under: Saprospiraceae
Lineage: Bacteria; Pseudomonadati; Bacteroidota; Saprospiria; Saprospirales
Also listed under: 1 other name
Description: JABDMH01 sp013001805 Standard tmRNA
Rfam family: transfer-messenger RNA
About the family: Bacterial tmRNA, also known as 10Sa RNA or SsrA, is named for its dual tRNA and mRNA-like properties.
Source: RNAcentral